This 104-nucleotide transfer RNA is filed under the name uncultured marine group II/III euryarchaeote AD1000_49_E05. Its description in RNAcentral is "tRNA-Met". It matches the Rfam family "tRNA". From Rfam's summary of the family: Transfer RNA (tRNA) molecules are approximately 80 nucleotides in length. The record is from RNAcentral. Lineage: Archaea; Methanobacteriati; Methanobacteriota.
GCCGGGGUGGCUCAGCCUGGUAGAGCGUCGGACUCAUAGGGUAGUAUAGUUCCGGCUAUGCCUGGGACAUCCGAAGGUCGCGGGUUCAAACCCCGCCCCCGGCA